AGGGAAUCACCAUCUCAGUAGUCAGUACUGACAUGAAUUAACAAACUUUACUAAAAUUGUCCGUUUAUAAAUUUUGAAAUUAUUAAGAAACUAAGGUUUCAACUCCCACAGGCAAAGUUGGCUUUAGAUGAUUUUGGCUAUUUAUUCUAGGUAUUUUUGACAUAUAGCUCUUCAAUGGUUUCGGUACUUAUACAUCUUCGGAUUUCAAUUGUUUUGGUUUGAGCGUUCCUGAUAAAGGUAAAUCCAGAAAAGUGCUUCGAACGCAAGAAAUUAUUCAACGUGUUGUUUUCGAUUUUUUAUACGAAAUUACAUUUCCA
RNAcentral lists this long non-coding RNA (317 nucleotides) under Mytilus galloprovincialis (Mediterranean mussel). Lineage: Eukaryota; Metazoa; Mollusca; Bivalvia; Mytilida; Mytilidae. The record is from RNAcentral.